UAGCCCUUUUUAAGCCGGGGGCUACCUAGCCAACUGACGUUGUUAGUGAAUAUGAAUUGUUCACACAAAUUUUUAGCCAAUCAUCUCUUGAUUGGCUUUUUUUUG
RNAcentral lists this small RNA (105 nucleotides) under Vibrio aerogenes CECT 7868. Its description in RNAcentral is "Qrr RNA". It matches the Rfam family "Qrr RNA". From Rfam's summary of the family: This family represents a set of small RNAs (the Qrr RNAs) that are thought to be involved in the regulation of quorum sensing in Vibrio species. The record is from Rfam by way of RNAcentral. Lineage: Bacteria; Pseudomonadati; Pseudomonadota; Gammaproteobacteria; Vibrionales; Vibrionaceae.